Molecule: ribosomal RNA, 446 nt
Filed under: uncultured bacterium
Lineage: Bacteria
Description: partial 16S ribosomal RNA
Rfam family: Bacterial small subunit ribosomal RNA
Source: RNAcentral
AGCCAGACUCCUACGGGAGGCAGCAGUGGGGAAUAUUGCACAAUGGGGGAAACCCUGAUGCAGCGACGCCGCGUGAGCGAUGAAGUAUUUCGGUAUGUAAAGCUCUAUCAGCAGGGAAGAAAAUGACGGUACCUGACUAAGAAGCCCCGGCUAACUACGUGCCAGCAGCCGCGGUAAUACGUAGGGGGCAAGCGUUAUCCGGAUUUACUGGGUGUAAAGGGAGCGUAGACGGCAAUGCAAGCCAGAUGUGAAAGCCCGGGGCUCAACCCCGGGACUGCAUUUGGAACUGUGUAGCUGGAGUGUCGGAGAGGCAGGCGGAAUUCCUAGUGUAGCGGUGAAAUGCGUAGAUAUUAGGAGGAACACCAGUGGCGAAGGCGACCUGCUGGACGAUGACUGACGUUGAGGCUCGAAAGCGUGGGGAGCAAACAGGAUUAGAUACCCUGGUA